UCACCAGCCAGGCAUCAGAAACUCCAACACAAAGAAAACAAUGGCUCUUAAGUGUUUCCCUCUUCCACAAUAAUGUUGUGUGCGGCUGGUGGGCAUGGACCUAGAGCCCUGGGAAUUAGUUACAAUCAUCAAAACAAAAUACCCAAAGUUUGUUUAUUUGUAUGACUGCGUCUUCUGACAUACUUUUGUAAUGACCAUGAAAUGUUAUGAUUUCCAUUCCAUAUUCAUGAAUCAACAACCAACUCUCCAGAUUUGUUUCUAGUAAUAUUAGAGAGAAGGCUAAUUCAGUCGCUGGACUCCAGGCAUGCUGUUUGUUUCAACGUGUAUAAAAUUACACUGUUUAUACCUGGAAUACUGAUCUCAUGUUUUGUAUUAUUUUACCUUUAUUUAGCUUUCAAAAACAAACUGAAAUAUUGGUGGGGGAUUUCAUUUUUCAGGCUCUAGCGAUUGUAUUGACCAAAAUGGCAGCAAAGAGGCAAAAUCACUGACUCUCCUUCCAGUCCAAUACCCCUGUCCAAAGGCCUCUCCACUCCUCGCUCCCUGGCACUGCCUGUGCCCCCUGCCCUGAGAUAUAAUUACAUGGCUGUUUCAGCAGCGUGGUGACCAAUGCCAUGCAUUAGCAGUGUGUCUCCCGUUGGCUGGGCGGCUGACGGCCCAAUUGAUGGCUAGAUUGGCCUGGCUCCUGUCCACACACCGAUCACCUCACCGGGCUCAGACCAACGGAGCGGGAGCCUCUUUCGCUCUUCCUCCUCCCCUUCUCUCCCUACUCCGCCUUCCCAGCCCAAGGUUAUCAGGGGGAAUUACCAUUCAGCGGACUGACGGUCGGUAGGUCGAAAAGGAGGAGGAGGCAGGAGGAACCGCUAGAUGGCCAGAGGUGAGAGACACUUCCAUCGAUGGAUACACAGGCAGGCAAGCAGACCAGGCAGACCUGCUGGGCCACCAAUUCCCCCGGCCCAAAUCAAACCUCUCACCCAGAGCAGAGUAGUGCUGGCUGGUUUCUUUCAGCUCCUCUCUUACUGUCAGUUCACCAUGGCAGGUCU
RNAcentral lists this long non-coding RNA (1040 nucleotides) under Salmo salar (Atlantic salmon). RNAcentral describes it as "lncRNA (ENSSSAG00000083902.1)". Lineage: Eukaryota; Metazoa; Chordata; Actinopteri; Salmoniformes; Salmonidae. The record is from RNAcentral.